CUAAUUCAUAAAUAAGAAGGAUAAGGGCGGAUGUAGCCAAGUGGAUCAAGGCAGUGGAUUGUGAAUCCACCAUGCGCGACU
RNAcentral lists this transfer RNA (81 nucleotides) under Salacia beddomei. Its description in RNAcentral is "partial tRNA-His". The stretch from base 27 to 81 matches the Rfam family "tRNA", at positions 1 to 52 of the family's 71-position model. Rfam says of the family: Transfer RNA (tRNA) molecules are approximately 80 nucleotides in length. Lineage: Eukaryota; Viridiplantae; Streptophyta; Magnoliopsida; Celastrales; Celastraceae. The record is from RNAcentral.